AUUGAACGCUGGCGGCAGGCCUAACACAUGCAAGUCGAACGGUAGCACAGAGAGCUUGCUCUCGGGUGACGAGUGGCGGACGGGUGAGUAAUGUCUGGGAAACUGCCCGAUGGAGGGGGAUAACUACUGGAAACGGUAGCCAAUACCGCAUAACGCCGCAAGACCAAAGUGGGGGACCUUCGGGCCUCACACCACCGGAUGUGCCCAGAUGGGAUUAGCUAGUAGGUGGGGUAAUGGCUCACAUAGGCGACGCUCCCUAGCUGGUCUGAGAGGAUGCCCAGCCACACUGGAGCGAAUGGCAGCUCCAGUCUCCAAAGGGGGGCAGCAGUUGGUAGUAUUGGGUAGUAGGCCCGGUCCUGCUGCGGCAGUGCCGCGUGUAGGGAGGAGGCCUUCGGUGUGUAACGUCCGUGCGGCGGGGUGGAAAGCGGUGAAGUUCAUUUCUCCACCUAUUCAUGUUUGCCGCAGACGCAGCGCCGGCUUUGUCUGUGCGAGCCGAUCCAGUUC
This 504-nucleotide ribosomal RNA is filed under the name uncultured bacterium. RNAcentral's name for it is "partial 16S ribosomal RNA". It matches the Rfam family "Bacterial small subunit ribosomal RNA", at positions 28 to 523 of the family's 1533-position model. The record is from RNAcentral.